GACGAACGCUGGCGGCGUGCUUAACACAUGCAAGUCGAACGGAAAGGCCCUGCUUUUGUGGGGUGCUCGAGUGGCGAACGGGUGAGUAACACGUGAGUAACCUGCCCUUGACUUUGGGAUAACUUCAGGAAACUGGGGCUAAUACCGGAUAGGGGCUCCUGCUGCAUGGUGGGGGUUGGAAAGUUUCGGCGGUUGGGGAUGGACUCGCGGCUUAUCAGCUUGUUGGUGGGGUAGUGGCUUACCAAGGCUUUGACGGGUAGCCGGCCUGAGAGGGUGACCGGCCACAUUGGGACUGAGAUACGGCCCAGACUCCUAUGGGAGGCAGCAGUGGGGAAUAUUGCACAAUGGGCGGAAGCCUGAUGCAGCAACGCCGCGUGCGGGAUGACGGCCUUCGGGUUGUAAACCGCUUUCGCCUGUGACGAAGCGUGAGUGACGGUAAUGGGUAAAGAAGCACCGGCUAACUACGUG
This 468-nucleotide ribosomal RNA is filed under the name uncultured bacterium. RNAcentral's name for it is "partial 16S ribosomal RNA". It matches the Rfam family "Bacterial small subunit ribosomal RNA", at positions 28 to 507 of the family's 1533-position model. The record is from RNAcentral.